CAGCAGCCGCGGUAAAACAGAGGGUGCAAGCGUUAAUCGGAAUUACUGGGCGUAAAGCGCGCGUAGGUGGUUUGUUAAGUUGGAUGUGAAAGCCCCGGGCUCAACCUGGGAACUGCAUCCAAAACUGGCAAGCUAGAGUACGGUAGAGGGUGGUGGAAUUUCCUGUGUAGCGGUGAAAUGCGUAGAUAUAGGAAGGAACACCAGUGGCGAAGGCGACCACCUGGACUGAUACUGACACUGAGGUGCGAAAGCGUGGGGAGCAAACAGGAUUAGAUACCCCAGUAGUCCCUGUCUCUUAUAA
RNAcentral lists this ribosomal RNA (301 nucleotides) under uncultured bacterium. RNAcentral describes it as "partial 16S ribosomal RNA". It matches the Rfam family "Bacterial small subunit ribosomal RNA", at positions 509 to 809 of the family's 1533-position model. The record is from RNAcentral.